Molecule: ribosomal RNA, 489 nt
Filed under: uncultured bacterium
Lineage: Bacteria
Description: partial 16S ribosomal RNA
Rfam family: Bacterial small subunit ribosomal RNA
Source: RNAcentral
ACGCUGGCGGCGUGCUUAACACAUGCAAGUCGAACGGUGAAGCGCCUUCCUUUUUGGUGGGUGUGGAUGAGUGGCGAACGGGUGAGUAACACGUGAGUAACCUGCCCCCUUCUUCUGGAUAACCGCAUGAAAGUGUGGCUAAUACGGGAUAUUCUGGGUCUGUCGCAUGAUGGGUCUGGGAAAGAUAUUGUUUCGGUGGGGGAUGUGCUCGCGGCCUAUCAGCUUGUUGGUGGGGUGAUGGCCUACCAAGGCGGUGACGGGUAGCCGGCCUGAGAGGGUGGACGGUCACACUGGGACUGAGACACGGCCCAGACUCCUACGGGAGGCAGCAGUGGGGAAUAGUGCACAAUGGGCGCAAGCCUGAUGCAGCGACGCCGCGUGAGGGAUGGAGGCCUUCGGGUUGUGAACCUCUUUCGCCAGUGAAGCAGGCCUGCCUCGUUUGUGGGUGGGUUGACGGUAGCUGGAUAAGAAGCGCCGGCUAACUACGUG